This 1466-nucleotide ribosomal RNA is filed under the name Discothyrea sauteri. RNAcentral's name for it is "partial 28S ribosomal RNA". It matches the Rfam family "Eukaryotic large subunit ribosomal RNA", at positions 364 to 1413 of the family's 3401-position model. The record is from RNAcentral. Lineage: Eukaryota; Metazoa; Arthropoda; Insecta; Hymenoptera; Formicidae.
UUGAAAAGAACUUUGAAGAGAGAGUUCAAGAGUACGUGAAACCGUUCAGGGGUAAACCUAAGAAACCCAAAAGAUCGAACGGGGAGAUUCAUCGUCAGCGGCGUCGGCUUCGCGUCGGUGGGCGAUGACCCGCGGGCACGUCCCGCGGGCACGCUACCGUGCGCGCACGUCCGGCGUCGUCGUCGUGCACUUCUCCCCUAGUAGGACGUCGCGACCCGCUGGGUGUCGGUCUACGGUCCGAGUGCGGUGCCUGUCGCGUCGCCGGUAAAACGGCACGCGGCAAACCCUCGGUCGCCCGACCGGCUGCCCGGCGGUACUCGCAAGGUAUCAGGCCGCAAGGCGCGCGCGGCGCACCCGCGCCGCGCGCCUACCUGCGUCGAGUCCGUCGCAAGCGCGCGCCAUGGUUGCUCGGAGGUUACGGACCCAGCGCCGUCCCCGGUCCUGGCCCGCUGUUCGCUCGACGGUGACCCUUCGACUGGCCUCGAAGCGCGGUUUGCGGGGGCCGUCCCGCGGUCCUCUCACGCGCGAUACCGGUCGGCGACGCUACUGCUUUGGGUACUCUUAGGACCCGUCUUGAAACACGGACCAAGGAGUCUAACAUGUGCGCGAGUCAUUGGGAUCAGAGAAACCUAAAGGCGCAAUGAAAGUGAAGGUCGGCCCUGGCGCCGACCGAGGGAGGAUGGGCCGCGUCGCGAUGCGGCCUCGCACUCCCGGGGCGUCUCGUUCUCAUUGCGAGAAGAGGCGCACCAAGAGCGUACACGUUGGGACCCGAAAGAUGGUGAACUAUGCCUGGUCAGGACGAAGUCAGGGGAAACCCUGAUGGAGGUCCGUAGCGAUUCUGACGUGCAAAUCGAUCGUCGGAACUGGGUAUAGGGGCGAAAGACUAAUCGAACCAUCUAGUAGCUGGUUCCCUCCGAAGUUUCCCUCAGGAUAGCUGGCACUCUGCCGUUCCACGGAACGCGCACGAGUCUCAUCUGGUAAAGCGAAUGAUUAGAGGCCUUGGGGCCGAAACGACCUCAACCUAUUCUCAAACUUUAAAUGGGUGAGAUCUCUGGCUUUCUUGAACCAUGAAGCCACGAGCAUCUCGGAUCAGAGUGCCAAGUGGGCCAAUUUUGGUAAGCAGAACUGGCGCUGUGGGAUGAACCAAACGCAGAGUUAAGGCGCCUAACUCGACGCUCAUGGGACACCAUGAAAGGCGUUGGUUGCUUAAGACAGCAGGACGGUGGCCAUGGAAGUCGGAAUCCGCUAAGGAGUGUGUAACAACUCACCUGCCGAAGCAACUAGCCCUGAAAAUGGAUGGCGCUGAAGCGUCGAGCCUAUACUCUGCCGUCAGCGGCAAGUGGGGCGGGCGUUCGCACGCGGGUCGGACUCGCUCUCACCCGAGGGUCGGCGUCUCUCACGCGGGUGGCGCCCGUCACGAAGCCCUGACGAGUAGGAGGGUCGCGGCGGUGCGCGCAGAAGGGUCU